AGAACGAACGCUGGCGGCAUCCCUAAUACAUGCAAGUCGAACGAACACUUCGGUGUUAGUGGCGCACGGGUGCGUAACGCGUGGGAAUCUGCCCUUGGGUUCGGAAUAACAGUUGGAAACGACUGCUAAUACCGGAUGAUAUCGAAAGAUCAAAGAUUUAUCGCCCAGGGAUGAGCCCGCGUAGGAUUAGCUAGUUGGUGAGGUAAAGGCUCACCAAGGCGACGAUCCUUAGCUGGUCUGAGAGGAUGAUCAGCCACACUGGGACUGAGACACGGCCCAGACUCCGUACGGGAGGCAG
This 298-nucleotide ribosomal RNA is filed under the name uncultured soil bacterium. RNAcentral describes it as "partial 16S ribosomal RNA". It matches the Rfam family "Bacterial small subunit ribosomal RNA", at positions 26 to 351 of the family's 1533-position model. The record is from RNAcentral.